Molecule: long non-coding RNA, 1476 nt
Organism: Panthera uncia (snow leopard)
Lineage: Eukaryota; Metazoa; Chordata; Mammalia; Carnivora; Felidae
Exons: 3
Source: RefSeq, a predicted model, not a curated record
GUAGUGGCUAGAACUAGGAUGUUAGCAAUGGGGAGAGAAAAUUGGAAGGAUUCAAGAAAUACUUUGCAGACAAAAUCAAUAAAACUUGGUUAUGGAUUAGGGUAGGGUGACAAUGAUGAGGUUUGUAAAUAUGUCAAAACUGCCUGCUACAUUUUAGGUUUGAACAAAACCCAUAAAAAAUGACACGUGAGCUGGGCCUUAAGGACUAAGUUAGAUUUUAGCUCAUAGAGAAGAAAGAAAGAUACUGAGGUGUGAGGAAGUCCUGUGGCAUAUUUGGAAUUCCUUAAAUGGUAUUCUGAUGCAAUAGUAGUAUAGGGCACAGAUUACGAAGACCUUUGAACUCCACAUCCAAGUACUAACCAGGCCCGACACUGCUUAGCUUCUGAGACCAGACUAGAACAGGCAUGUUCGGAGUAGUAUGGUCAUAGACAAAACCUUUGAACUUCUGAUAAAACUUUUGUGCUUGCUUUUUUGUUUAUUUAAUCAGGGCAGCAUCACUUCAGAUCUAUGAUUAUAUCAAACUGUUGGGUAUUCAGGACUGGAGCUUAGGAAAGAGAGAUUCAGGACAAGUAUUUGGAAAUCAUAUGUGAUCAUUAAAACCAUUACAACAUAUGAGCCAGCCCAUAAAGAAUACAAAGGAAGAAGACAAUCAAUGAUUAACCUUUAGGGAUCCCCUGCAUUUAAAGGACAGGUGGAAGGAAAAAUGAGAAAGAAGCUUGAAAGUCACGAAAUCCACAUGGAUAAUAUGAAGUCAAAAUGUAAUCAGGAGGAGGAGAAAAAGGCAGAGGAGUAUCCUCACUUCAGAUGAGAUUAGGGAUAUGUGUAAAAUGCGGGAAAGUGCAAAAUCUUGUAGAAAAGCACCACCUGAAUAAGGCUGUAGCAGUGUGAGCAAUGAAUCUGUUUCAGGACAAUGCAAUGUCACAUUUCUAUGAAAUCCUCAAAAGGAGUCAAAAGCAAGUGUCAUUGGAUAGGCUCCUCGUUAAAGUUGCACAAAAAGAAAAAGAUUCCAUUGAGCCAACAGAUAGCAGGGAUUUCAUUAGUGAUAGUGAAAGUCAUCCUAUACAACAACCCCCUUCUCUCUUGUCUCCCUCACACCAGCCACGAAGGUUUUCAAAGGAGGAAUUAAUAGAAUUUUAACCAGGACAAACUGGGCUGCAGUUAAAGCCAUGGAACUAGACUGAAUCAAAGAAGCUGAGGUAGGCAACCUUUCAACUCAUCCUGAGAUAUUAAUUCAGGCAAUAACCACUCCUAAGGCCACAUGGGUACCAAUGGCUACAUGAGAAAUUCUCCCCAGAAAUAUCAAGAUCACAGGCACAGCCGCAAUAGCCAGUUUGCUCUUGACCUCUUCCAUUCACCUUUUUUUGAACCCAUCUGGUAUUACAAAGUCCAACCUAAAUCUAAUCUUCUCAAAAUAACCCCCAUACUCCAAAAUUAUUCUUCCCCUUUUCCUCAAAUAAAACUCCCAUUUCCAAAGAA